This 218-nucleotide long non-coding RNA is filed under the name Prunus persica (peach). RNAcentral's name for it is "long non-coding RNA (PPER_LNC001883)". The record is from RNAcentral. Lineage: Eukaryota; Viridiplantae; Streptophyta; Magnoliopsida; Rosales; Rosaceae.
GCAUCGAUGGACAACCUCGGAUUGACUCAAAACAUAUACCAUCUUACUCGGUUCGAGAAAUCGAGGUGAAUGGAUUAAAAAUAUGGCUUCGGAGGCUAUCGGAACAGCCACUGCAUGCUGCUACUUGCUAACGAGGAGAGUGGGCUUGGCUAAGGUUAUUGUUCAUCUUCUCCAGAAAUUCUGCAAAUUUUUCCUUUUUUUUUUUUCCAUUCUAAAAC